ACUCACGCGGGAAUCUUACCGGGUCCGGACACACUGAGGAUUGACAGACAAAUACACACACUUUUACGGUGUGUGCAUGAAAUAUGCUAGUUCUUUCAUGAUUAUGUGAUAGGUGGUGCAUGGCCGUUCUUAGUUCGUGGAGUGAUCUGUCUGCUUAAUUGCGUUUCACUAAAGGCACAUACACAUAAUAUUGAUGUGUUGUGUAUAAUUUAUAAUUAUAUCGCAUACACACAUAUUAUAUUGUGCUUUGAAAGCAACGAACGUGACCGCAACCUCUUGUUGCCUGUAUAUAUGUGUAUUUUAUACACACCACAGGCUAUUAUAAACUAGAGGGACCGCUGUUACUUUCUUUUAAACCAGAGGAAGGUUGCGGCAAUAACAGGUCUGUGAUGCCCUUAGAUGUUCCGGGCUGCACACGUGCUACAAUGAUCAUUGCAGUGCGCAUCUCAUUUUGUUAUACACUGCUUGUGCGUAUGUGCAUCACAUAUAUUUAUAUGUGUGUGUGUAUGUAUUGCACGCAGUAAAGCCUACUUCGAAAGUUGUGGGUAAUCAAUUUGAAGUAAUGAUUUCUCCAAAUAUAUACUGCACACUCAUAUACAGUGUCUUAUGUCCAUGAAAAUAUUUUAUUUUUGUGUGUGCAUUCGAUGCUCGUAUGUGCAAUUGUCAAUUCAUGGUGGGGACAGACCAUUGUUAAUUGUUGGUCUCGGUCUUAACUAGGAAUGCCUUGUACGGGUCUUUGGUUCAACAAACCACCCGGAAUACGUCCCUGCCCUUUGUACACACCGCCCGUCGCUCUUACCGAUGGACUUCUCUGUGAGUUUGAGGGACUGGAUUUUAUAUCUAUGGAAACUCAAACGAACAGUGUGGU
Molecule: ribosomal RNA, 868 nt
Filed under: Haynesina sp. S16
Lineage: Eukaryota; Foraminifera; Rotaliida; Nonionidae
Description: SSU rRNA
Rfam family: Eukaryotic small subunit ribosomal RNA
Source: RNAcentral